RNAcentral lists this ribosomal RNA (479 nucleotides) under uncultured Leptothrix sp. RNAcentral describes it as "bacterial SSU rRNA". It matches the Rfam family "Bacterial small subunit ribosomal RNA", at positions 29 to 508 of the family's 1533-position model. The record is from RNAcentral. Lineage: Bacteria; Pseudomonadati; Pseudomonadota; Betaproteobacteria; Burkholderiales; Sphaerotilaceae.
AUUGAACGCUGGCGGCAUGCCUUACACAUGCAAGUCGAACGGUAGAGGGGCAACCCUCGAGAGUGGCGAACGGGUGAGUAACGCAUCGGAACGUGCCCAGUCGUGGGGGAUAACACUUCGAAAGAAGUGCUAAUACCGCAUACGACCUGAGGGUGAAAGCGGGGGAUCGCAAGACCUCGCGCGAUUGGAGCGGCCGAUGUCAGAUUAGGUAGUUGGUGGGGUAAAGGCCUACCAAGCCGACGAUCUGUAGCUGGUCUGAGAGGACGACCAGCCACACUGGGACUGAGACACGGCCCAGACUCCUACGGGAGGCAGCAGUGGGGAAUUUUGGACAAUGGGCGCAAGCCUGAUCCAGCCAUGCCGCGUGCAGGAAGAAGGCCUUCGGGUUGUAAACUGCUUUUGUCAGGGAAGAAAUCUUCUGGGCUAAUACCCCGGGAGGAUGACGGUACCUGAAGAAUAAGCACCGGCUAACUACGUGC